UACGAAGGGGGCUAGCGUUGUUCGGAAUUACUGGGCGUAAAGCGCACGUAGGCGGGCGAUUAAGUCAGGGGUGAAAUCCCGGAGCUCAACUCCGGAACUGCCUUUGAUACUGGUCGUCUAGAGAUCGGAAGAGGAUGAGGUGAAUUCCCAGUGUAGAGGUGAAAUUCGUAGAUAUUGGGAAGAACACCAGUGGCGAAGGCGGCUCACUGGUCCGAUACUGACGCUGAGGUGCGAAAGCGUGGGGAGCAAACAGG
This 254-nucleotide ribosomal RNA is filed under the name uncultured bacterium. Its description in RNAcentral is "partial 16S ribosomal RNA". It matches the Rfam family "Bacterial small subunit ribosomal RNA", at positions 524 to 776 of the family's 1533-position model. The record is from RNAcentral.